This 21-nucleotide small RNA is filed under the name Brassica napus (rape). RNAcentral's name for it is "PsRNA_82". The record is from RNAcentral. Lineage: Eukaryota; Viridiplantae; Streptophyta; Magnoliopsida; Brassicales; Brassicaceae.
CGAGGAGGAGCACUGACCUGG